UGGGGAAUUUUGGACAAUGGGCGAAAGCCUGAUCCAGCAAUGCCGCGUGUGUGAAGAAGGCCUUCGGGUUGUAAAGCACUUUUGUCCGGAAAGAAAUCCUUGGCUCUAAUACAGUCGGGGGAUGACGGUACCGGAAGAAUAAGCACCGGCUAACUACGUGCCAGCAGCCGCGGUAAUACGUAGGGUGCAAGCGUUAAUCGGAAUUACUGGGCGUAAAGCGUGCGCAGGCGGUUUGCUAAGACCGAUGUGAAAUCCCCGGGCUCAACCUGGGAACUGCAUUGGUGACUGGCAGGCUAGAGUAUGGCAGAGGGGGGUAGAAUUCCACGUNUAGCAGUGAAAUGCGUAGAGAUGUGGAGGAAUACCGAUGGCGAAGGCAGCCCCCUGGGCCAAUACUGACGCUCAUGCACGAAAGCGUGGGGGAGCAAACAGGAUUAGAUACCCUGGUAGUCCACGCCCUAAACGAUGUCAACUAGUUGUUGGGGAUUCAUUUCCUUAGUAACGUAGCUAACGCGUGAAGUUGACCGCCUGGGGAGUACGGUCGCAAGAUUAAAACUCAAAUGAAUUGACGGGGUCAUAGCUGUUUCCU
This 586-nucleotide ribosomal RNA is filed under the name uncultured bacterium. RNAcentral's name for it is "partial 16S ribosomal RNA". It matches the Rfam family "Bacterial small subunit ribosomal RNA", at positions 355 to 1375 of the family's 1533-position model. The record is from RNAcentral.